This 253-nucleotide ribosomal RNA is filed under the name uncultured bacterium. Its description in RNAcentral is "partial 16S ribosomal RNA". It matches the Rfam family "Bacterial small subunit ribosomal RNA", at positions 524 to 776 of the family's 1533-position model. The record is from RNAcentral.
UACGGAGGGUGCAAGCGUUAUCCGGAUUCACUGGGUUUAAAGGGUGCGUAGGUGGCGCGUUAAGUCCGUUGUGAAAGCCCUGGGCUCAACCCAGGAACUGCUUCGGAUACUGGCGCGCUUGAGGCUAGUAGGGGUCACUGGAACUGACGGUGGAGCGGUGAAAUGCGUAGAUAUCGUCAGGAACGCCAAUGGUGAAGACAGGUGACUGGGCUAGUUCUGACACUGAGGCACGAAAGCGUGGGGAGCGAACGGG